AAGUCGUAACAAGGUCUCCGUAGGUGAACCUGCGGAGGGAUCAUCAAAGGAUUUUUCCAAAGAAAAAAGGGUGUAUUGCUUUUUUCCUUGUAAAAGAGGAGGGAAGUGGUAUGCUCUUUUUUCUUCAAACAAACGAUCACAACUAUUGAAUGAAUGAAUGAAAAUUGAUUUGGUUUGACUUGACUUGAAAAAAAAAGUGUUUGCCUGAUAAUCUAAUGGUUUGGAAAAACAAGAGAAAGAAAUACAACUUUCAACAACGGAUCUCUUGGCUCUCA
Molecule: unclassified non-coding RNA, 275 nt
Filed under: fungal sp.
Lineage: Eukaryota; Fungi
Description: partial internal transcribed spacer region
Rfam family: Eukaryotic small subunit ribosomal RNA (bases 1-46)
Source: RNAcentral